AAUAGGUACAAUUUUGUACUGUUUAUAUCCAACGUUUAAUCGUUUAUCUUAUUUAAAAUUUUUUAGAUUAAUAUUAUUAUUAAAUAAUAAAACAUGAAUAUUAUUUUAUGUGCGACUAUUUUUUUUAUUUUUUCAUAAAUUAUUUAAAUGAAAUAGACAAUCAAACAUUAGACACGAUAUCUAUGGCUAGACUUAUU
This is a microRNA precursor of Oryza sativa Japonica Group (Japanese rice), 197 nucleotides long. It matches the Rfam family "MIR812 microRNA precursor family". NCBI's taxonomy places the organism in Eukaryota, Viridiplantae, Streptophyta, Magnoliopsida, Poales, Poaceae. The record is from Rfam.